UAGGGAAUAUUGGACAAUGGGGGCAACCCUGAUCCAGCCAUGCCGCGUGAGUGAAGAAGGCCCUCGGGUUUUAAAUCUCUUUUGUCCGGAAAGAAAAGCUUCGGGUUAUUACCCCGGGGUUCUGACGGUACCGGAAGAAUAAGCACCGGCUAACUUCGUGCCAGCAGCCGCGGUAAUACGAAGGGUGCAAGCGUUACUCGGAAUUACUGGGCGUAAAGCGUGCGUAGGUGGUUGUUUAAGUCUGAUGUGAAAGCCCUGGGCUCAACCUGAGAAUGGCGUGGGAAACUGGGCAGCUAGAGUGCGGUAGAGGGUAGUGGAAUUGCCGGUGUAGCAGUGAAAUGCGUAGAGAUCGGGAGGAACAUCUGUGGCGGAGGCGACUGCCUGGACCAGCACUGACACUGAGGCACGAAAGCGUGGGGAGCAAACA
Molecule: ribosomal RNA, 427 nt
Filed under: uncultured bacterium
Lineage: Bacteria
Description: bacterial SSU rRNA
Rfam family: Bacterial small subunit ribosomal RNA
Source: RNAcentral